AUAAAACUCAAAUGUUACUCAUUUAGGCGCAGUUUAUUCACAGACUAUUCAUCUUCCUUCUUUAUUCAUUCCUGCACCACAAACGGCGCUACAUCAACUAUUUCUGCCCUAAUUUUCGUUUUUUCACUCCUCACAACCAAAAUUCUUCAAACUUUUUCACUUACCUUUCCAAAAUUAUCCCAAAUCUUCUAAUUCAGUUUCGGGAGCAUGAUCAAGAAACGGGACCAGUUGAAUUCUUUAUAAAGUAUCAUAAGAAAAAGAAUGACACGUUCCUAGAACCAAUUACCCAACAUUUUGUGGUGGCCACCAAGAAACGAGUACGCCAAUCACAAGUACCAAAUACAAGCAUCCAAAAGCAGUUGUGAAGACAUUUUACUUUGGUUUUUAGUUUUGUAUUGUAAUAUGAUGACAAUGAUAUUUUUUGAAUAUUAUUAGAUAUUUUGUAUGUUACGAUUGAUAAAAUUUGUGAAUGUAAUGUAGUAAUCAAAGACAAUAUAUAUAUAUAUA
Long non-coding RNA from Amaranthus tricolor (Joseph's coat), 507 nucleotides. RefSeq lists it as uncharacterized. Lineage: Eukaryota; Viridiplantae; Streptophyta; Magnoliopsida; Caryophyllales; Amaranthaceae. The transcript is spliced from 3 exons. The record is from RefSeq and is a predicted model, not a curated record.